This 75-nucleotide transfer RNA is filed under the name Nanobdellota archaeon. Its description in RNAcentral is "tRNA-Glu". It matches the Rfam family "tRNA". Rfam says of the family: Transfer RNA (tRNA) molecules are approximately 80 nucleotides in length. Their secondary structure includes four short double-helical elements and three loops (D, anti-codon, and T loops). Lineage: Archaea; Nanobdellati; Nanobdellota. The record is from RNAcentral.
GCUCCUGUCGUCUAGCCCGGUCAAGGAUCCAGCCCUUUCAAGGCUGUGACACGAGUUCAAAUCUCGUCAGGAGCA